AGCAUCGUCAACAAUUACACAAUUCCAAUCCAAUAUAGUCAACUAAAAUUUCCUAUAGGUGGCCUAUUCCAAAAUCAACAAAAUAAUUAUCUUAUAUAACCAAAAACAUGUGUGGUAUACCAAAACUAAAAUCUAUCCCCUUUACAUCUAUUGCAUGUACAUAAGCAUAAUAGCUAUGAACGAAACAUUUACAAAAAAAAAAAAAAAAAAAGUUAUGGGCAUUCCCAUAUAUUAGUCAUUCACAAAAUUAAUAAGAUCACAUCUAAGAGAUGUCUAUCAUAUGUACAAAGCUAAAAAUUCAGCCCACUCCGCUCAAUCUUCAUCCAAUUCAAGCUGUGAGUAGAAACUUCUUGUAUCAGUCUAAUAAAACAUAAAAAAUCAAGUAGACAUUUUGUUAAAAAUAAAAAUUAAUCAGAUAAGUAACUUAUUUCCAUCAUAAAAGAAUAAUCGCCUUGUAAAAAAAUUCUACAUUGUAAGGGAGGAUAUUGUAAACCUAAACAUGAAUAUUUAAACCUAUAUGAAACUAAGUACAAACAUAGAUUAGAAAACCUACACUAAAUAAAUAUUGUUAAUGCUCAAAAACAGUUAAAAAUUAACUUAAAAGAAUACCGUAUAACUUAAGCAAGUUUUCCCAAAUCAUAAAUACAUAAGAGUACCUAUUCAACUGAGUUAAGUGCUUCAACACCUCCCCUGGCAUCUGCAAAGAAAAACAUUACAAGACUAAAGGGAGAGACAAAAAACGAACUUCCUUUGAUCUUCUUACAACAUUCACAUUUAUCAAGCUCCACUAAAUCACUAAUAAACGAAGAGAACACUAUUGCUUACCUAUUUAUUGCAGAGAAUCUGGGUUCAAGACAAAAAGAACAAAAUAAUUAUACACCAAAUAUUUUGAAGAUUAUUGAAUAGAAAUGUGUAUAUUGUUCACCUGGAAAUUCCACCUACCAUUCUGCAAAUCAAAACAAAUUCUUUGAAUGAAACCAAAUCAUCGAUGAACUCUCACCACCCUGAAUAAAAAACCAACGAAAUCAAUCAAAGAAAACAGAUACAUUGAACUCAAAAAACAAAAAAGAAAAACUCUCAUCCUCUAACAUUCAGUAGUGAACGAAAAAAGGAAGAAAAUCAGAGGGGGGCGGCUUUUCGGUGAGAAGAAAAUCAGAAGGGGCGUGUCCAGAGAGAAGAAGGGAGAUCGAGAAGAACUCCGGUGGUGAAGAAAUUCGGUGGGGGCCAUUCCACGUGAAGAAAAUCAAAUGGGAAGGGGGCUUUUCGGUGAGAAGAAAAUCGGAAGGGAAGGGGGACACGUUCGGUGAGAAGAGGGGGGCGAGAAAAGAAAUUUGGUGGAGGGUCGUCUGACGUGAAGAAAAUAAGAGGGGGCUUUUUAGUGUGAAAAAAAUCGGAAGGUUGCGUGUGAUAAGGGAAGAGAGGCAACAUGUGAGAGAAAAUAGGAAAAAGGAGGGAAAAUGAAAAGAGG
Molecule: long non-coding RNA, 1468 nt
Filed under: Cucumis sativus (cucumber)
Lineage: Eukaryota; Viridiplantae; Streptophyta; Magnoliopsida; Cucurbitales; Cucurbitaceae
Description: long non-coding RNA (CSAT_LNC000348)
Source: RNAcentral